This 229-nucleotide ribosomal RNA is filed under the name uncultured bacterium. Its description in RNAcentral is "partial 16S ribosomal RNA". It matches the Rfam family "Bacterial small subunit ribosomal RNA", at positions 111 to 334 of the family's 1533-position model. The record is from RNAcentral.
UAACGCGUAGGUAACCUGCCUUGUAGCGGGGGAGUAACUAUUGGAAACGAUAGCUAAUACCGCAUAACAAUGGAUGACCCAUGUCAUUUAUUUGAAAGGGGCAAAUGCUCCACUACAAGAUGGACCUGCGUUGUAUUAGCUAGUAGGUGAGGUAACGGCUCACCUAGGCGACGAUACAUAGCCGACCUGAGAGGGUGAUCGGCCACACUGGGACUGAGACACGGCCCAG